GAGGGUAUAGCUUAAGUGGUAGAGCACGUGCUUAGCAUACAUGAGGUCCUGGGUUCAAUCCCCAGUACCUCCA
Molecule: transfer RNA, 73 nt
Organism: Camelus ferus (Wild Bactrian camel)
Lineage: Eukaryota; Metazoa; Chordata; Mammalia; Artiodactyla; Camelidae
Rfam family: tRNA
About the family: Transfer RNA (tRNA) molecules are approximately 80 nucleotides in length. Their secondary structure includes four short double-helical elements and three loops (D, anti-codon, and T loops).
Source: Rfam